This 253-nucleotide ribosomal RNA is filed under the name uncultured bacterium. RNAcentral describes it as "partial 16S ribosomal RNA". It matches the Rfam family "Bacterial small subunit ribosomal RNA", at positions 524 to 776 of the family's 1533-position model. The record is from RNAcentral.
UACGUAGGGUGCAAACGUUGCUCGGAAUCAUUGGGCGUAAAGCGCACGUAGGUGGUUUGUUAAGUCGGGUGUGAAAUCCCUGGGCUCAACCCAGGAAGUGCACUCGAAACUGGCAGACUUGAGUACUGAAGAGGGUCGCGGAAUUCCCGGUGUAGAGGUGAAAUUCGUAGAUAUCGGGAGGAACACCAGUGGCGAAGGCGGCGACCUGGGCAGAUACUGACGCUGAGGCGCGAAAGCGUGGGGAGCAAACAGG